AGCUCCAAUAGCGUAUAUUAAAGUUGUUGCAGUUAAAAAGCUCGUAGUUGGAUUUGUGGUGUGUGCCUUGGCGUUGUGAUUUGUUUCAUUUUCUGCCUUGGCCGUGCCAUGUUUUGGGUGGAAUCUGUGUGGCAUUAGGUUGUCGUGCAGGGGAUGCCCAUCGUUUACUGUGAAAAAAUUAGAGUGUUCAAAGCAGGCUUAUGCCGUUGAAUAUAUUAGCAUGGAAUAAUAAGAUAGGUCUUUGGUCCUAUUUUGUUGGUUUGCGGGCCGGAGAAAUGAUUAACAGGGACAGUUGGGGGUAUUCGUAUUCCAUUGUCAGAGGUGAAAUUCUUGGAUUUCUGGAAGACGAACUACUGCGAAAGCAUUUACCAAGGAUGUUUUCAUUAAUCAAGAACGAAAG
RNAcentral lists this ribosomal RNA (400 nucleotides) under phytoplankton environmental sample. Its description in RNAcentral is "partial small subunit ribosomal RNA". It matches the Rfam family "Eukaryotic small subunit ribosomal RNA", at positions 587 to 989 of the family's 1831-position model. The record is from RNAcentral.